CGCGAUGUCAAUAAUGAGACCAUCAUCUAUAACACAACCCACUUCCUACCAUAGUUUCCCCUCAAUCUGAGUUGAACCACUUGAGCAACCAACAAGAGAACGACAAAAAUCAUGUCCCAACAACAACAAUUAGUUUGAGCCUUUUAUAAGAGCAGCCCAUCAAAUCAACUAAACACUACCAAGGAUACUUUCAUAUUUCAAGCACCUCAUCACUAACUAUAAAUCCACUCACACAUACAAUUCCAACAAGUAAUUAAAGCAUAUAAAACAGGGGGGGGGG
Molecule: unclassified non-coding RNA, 280 nt
Filed under: Hevea brasiliensis (rubber tree)
Lineage: Eukaryota; Viridiplantae; Streptophyta; Magnoliopsida; Malpighiales; Euphorbiaceae
Source: RNAcentral